UACGUAGGGGGCUAGCGUUGUCCGGAUUUAUUGGGCGUAAAGAGCGUGUAGGCGGCCAGGUAGGUCUGCUGUGAAAACUCGAGGCUCAACCUCGAGACGUCGGCGGAAACCAUCUGGCUAGAGUCCGGAAGAGGAGAGUGGAAUUCCUGGUGUAGCGGUGAAAUUCGUAGAUAUUCGCAAGAACACCAGUGGCGAAGGCGGCUCACUGGCCCGGUACUGACGCUGAGGUGCGAAAGCGUGGGGAGCAAACAGG
RNAcentral lists this ribosomal RNA (253 nucleotides) under uncultured bacterium. RNAcentral's name for it is "partial 16S ribosomal RNA". It matches the Rfam family "Bacterial small subunit ribosomal RNA", at positions 524 to 776 of the family's 1533-position model. The record is from RNAcentral.